RNAcentral lists this long non-coding RNA (2601 nucleotides) under Homo sapiens (human). Its description in RNAcentral is "non-protein coding lnc-TOMM20-3:3". The record is from RNAcentral. Lineage: Eukaryota; Metazoa; Chordata; Mammalia; Primates; Hominidae.
ACUGUUUUUCACUGCUGUAUCCUCAGUACACAGAAUGGUUUGUAACACGAGACAGACACCUCAGUAAAAGCCAGAUGAGGGCUAGUAUUAGUAAAACCUGUCAGACUGUUGCAUUUGAAAAACGAAACAAAAACGUUGGUUCCAGGGCACUAACCACCAUGAAAUACAGUAAGUGUACAUCUCGGUUAUAGUUUACUCCCUACCCACAGCCUUCCUCUCCCACAGCGGAGAAACAAUAGUGAAUUAGUUUCUUUCUCAGAGAGACUUGAGGUAUGUGAUGAAAGACAAGUCCAAGAAACAGUGAAGCCAGCUUUGCAGACAUCAGCCCUAGAACCAAUGGUAUUAUUUCCCAGUGCAAAUGAUAAUUACUCCGACCUACUCAUCAAGACAAGAAAAAGCAUCUCUGAUCAAUUUUCAAAAGAGGCUGGGUUGGUGUAAUUAUAGUUAAUAAUACCCAUCUACGGAGCUGUUGCCCCUGACACACACACCCUUGAGUUGUCAGCCUCAGACUUCCAUUUCUAGCACCUGUAAGCUGGUCAAGUUGUGUGCACUGUAAUGUGUCACCAUGAAACGAAAGAGAAGUACCAGAUUUCUCUCUUCUCUCAACAUGGCAUCAGUUUUUUCAAUAUAUUGGCAAAGUGGAUCCAUCCACGGUUCUGGGUCCUGGCUGUGCGUCCGAUCGCCUUUGUCAGCUGGGGGAAGACUCAGGGUGACUUGAGCCAGGAGGACCGCGGAGUGGACAGCCGGUACCGCGCGCUCCCCUUUCCCUUGUUCUAAACUGGGCUGGAGAAGUUCAUAGGAUUUGCUCCGUCUGUACCGCGUGCGCUGUGAGCGUUUUCAUCAGGGCAGCAGCAGACGCGAAGGAGCGCGCUGGCGCCCUCUGGCGGCGAUCCUAGGGUGCGUCCGCGCCGUGCCUACCCCCCGGCCUCCGGGAGCCUCGAGCCCCAGCGCGACUGUGAUUCUGCCAAUUACAGCGAUCAUCAUAGCGAAAUGAAAAUGCUCCGAUUAUUUGUUUAUAAAUAAAACCGUUCCUCCUGGAAAAUGUGCCAGGAUGACAUUUUGUGAAGUCCUGUUUCCAGUCUUCGUGAAUUAAAAUUCUAGAUGGGAAACUACCAGACAGGAGAAGAUAAUUGAAAAGGAUAGUUGAAAGGACUUCUGACUUGUCCAAGAAGAGACGCAAUUCCAGGUUAAUCUUCAGAGUGAGUCAAAGCAACACCCCUCAUGGAGCCCAAGAGCAUCCAAAAGAGGAUCAAAAACUUCAUCUGGCACCAGUUAGACCAGUUCCUGGUCCACUACAUCAAGAAACUGGAAGUGCUGCUGAUGGGCAGUGAAUCUGACUGUGCAGGGACCGCUCGCCGUGCCUCCUCCAAGAACCAAGAACCGCAACGCUGUUUCGGGAAGAGCAGCCCAGCUGCCGUCAGAGUCAGCAAUCCCAAUGCUGGGCUGCCCCGCCAAGAAAAUGAAUGGGCAGCCAUGUGUACAUAUUAUUUGUGUUUAAAUAAAGCCAUAAAAUCUGAAAGAAAAAAAACAAACCAGGCGCGGUGGCUCAUGCCUGUACUGUAAUCCCAGCACUUCGAGAGGCUGAGGCGGGUGGAUCACCUGAAGUCAGGAGUUCGAGACCAGCCUGGCCAACAUGGUGAAACCCCCAUCUCUACUAAAAAUACAUAAAUUAGCUGGGCAUGGUGGCGGGCGCCUGUAGUCCCAGCUGCUCAAGAGGCUGAGGCAGGAGAAUAGCUUGAACUUGGGAAGUGGAGGUUGCAGUGAGCCCAGAUCGCAUCACUGCACUCCAGCCUGGGUGUCAAGAGCGAGACUGUGUCUCAAACAAAAACGAAAACAAAAACAAACAAAAAGAGUGAAGAGUAUGCUCGGGCUGUCUAGCAUUGUAGAAGGGCACCUCCACUUUGGAGAACUUUCUUUCGGCUGCCUUGUCUCUCUCUUCUCUCCUAAGUGGACCAAGGGACAGGCUUCCAUGGCUUUCUUCCAAGCUAGAAACACCAGCAGGUCACUACUCAUGUUGUGUAUUUAGAAACCUUAUUUAAAAAACUGGAUUGCAAAGUAGAGAGUAGCUCAAAGGAUGAAGCAGUUUUUUCCCCAAUGGUUUUUGUGAGUCUAUUACCAAUGGCCUAAUUUUGCUUUAAUCAAAGGUUUUUAUGAUGCUAACUGAUGAUGUCUAAACACAAAUAAAGGUUUUGUUUUGUUUCUGAGAAUAGUGGCUUAAAAAAUACUAACAUGGAAAAAUAAUGGAUGAUUUUGCUGAUAGUAGUACUGUUUGCAGAUUUGUUUGCAGUACUGUUUGCAGAUUUGUUUGCAGUACUGUUUGCAGUUUUAUGGUGAAAGAAAAUAAUUUAGCAGCUAAGGCGAGUUUGUGCCUUGCCUUAGCACAUGGUCACUUACGAACUGUGCGGUGUGGGUCUACACCUAGAACUUUCCCUCAGAACAGAGAUUUAACAAUUAGAUGACACUCAGGAAGCUUCCUUUAAACAAGCAAAUAUUUCCAGUUGACAACAGGAAUGUAAACACGACUCCAAUCAGUGAAUAUGCUGAAAGCUCUUUCCUAUCUGCGGUAUUAGCUGUGCUCAGUGGAGAGGGUAACGUUUCUUC